This 780-nucleotide ribosomal RNA is filed under the name uncultured bacterium. Its description in RNAcentral is "bacterial SSU rRNA". It matches the Rfam family "Bacterial small subunit ribosomal RNA", at positions 10 to 808 of the family's 1533-position model. The record is from RNAcentral.
AGUUUGAUCCUGGAUAGGACGAACGCUGGCGGCGUGCUUAACACAUGCAAGUCGAACGGAAAGGCCCUUCGGGGUGCUCGAGUGGCGAACGGGUGAGUAACACGUGGGUGAUCUGCCCUGCACUUUGGGAUAAGCCUGGGAAACUGGGUCUAAUACCGGAUAGGACCACGGCCUUCAUGGGUUGUGGUGGAAAGCUUUUGCGGUGUGGGAUGGGCCCGCGGCCUAUCAGCUUGUUGGUGGGGUAAUGGCCUACCAAGGCGACGACGGGUAGCCGGCCUGAGAGGGUGACCGGCCACACUGGGACUGAGAUACGGCCCAGACUCCUACGGGAGGCAGCAGUGGGGAAUAUUGCACAAUGGGCGCAAGCCUGAUGCAGCGACGCCGCGUGGGGGAUGACGGCCUUCGGGUUGUAAACCUCUUUCAGCACAGACGAAGCGUGAGUGACGGUAUGUGCAGAAGAAGCACCGGCCAACUACGUGCCAGCAGCCGCGGUAAUACGUAGGGUGCGAGCGUUGUCCGGAAUUACUGGGCGUAAAGAGCUCGUAGGUGGUUUGUCGCGUUGUUCGUGAAAACUCACAGCUUAACUGUGGGCGUGCGGGCGAUACGGGCAGACUGGAGUACUGCAGGGGAGACUGGAAUUCCUGGUGUAGCGGUGGAAUGCGCAGAUAUCAGGAGGAACACCGGUGGCGAAGGCGGGUCUCUGGGCAGUAACUGACGCUGAGGAGCGAAAGCGUGGGGAGCGAACAGGAUUAGAUACCCUGGUAGUCCACGCCGUAAACG